UUCCAUAUUUACUGGUCUGCAACUGUUCUUAUGAUAGUCAAUGAGUCAGUUCUCUGUGGAAAAGAAACUGUUACACAAUUGAAACCUCCUUUCUAAAAACAUCAACUGGACAUAUGUGUGAUGGAUACAA
Molecule: small nucleolar RNA, 130 nt
Filed under: Echinops telfairi (small Madagascar hedgehog)
Lineage: Eukaryota; Metazoa; Chordata; Mammalia; Afrosoricida; Tenrecidae
Description: Small nucleolar RNA SNORA41 (ENSETEG00000022576.1)
Source: RNAcentral